RNAcentral lists this ribosomal RNA (514 nucleotides) under uncultured bacterium. RNAcentral describes it as "partial 16S ribosomal RNA". It matches the Rfam family "Bacterial small subunit ribosomal RNA", at positions 28 to 523 of the family's 1533-position model. The record is from RNAcentral.
GAUGAACGCUGGCGGCGUGCCUAAUACAUGCAAGUCGAGCGAAUGGAUUAAGAGCUUGCUCUUAUGAAGUUAGCGGCGGACGGGUGAGUAACACGUGGGUAACCUGCCCAUAAGACUGGGAUAACUCCGGGAAACCGGGGCUAAUACCGGAUAACAUUUUGAACCGCAUGGUUCGAAAUUGAAAGGCGGCUUCGGCUGUCACUUAUGGAUGGACCCGCGUCGCAUUAGCUAGUUGGUGAGGUAACGGCUCACCAAGGCAACGAUGCGUAGCGGACCUGAGAGGGUGAUCGGCCACACUGGGACUGAGACACGGCCCAGACUCCUACGGGAGGCAGCAGUAGGGAAUCUUCCGCAAUGGACGAAAGUCUGACGGAGCAACGCCGCGUGAGUGAUGAAGGCUUUCGGGUCGUAAACUCUGUUGUUAGGGAAGAACAAGUGCUAGUUGAAUAAGCUGGCACCUUGACGGUACCUAACCAGAAAGCCACGGCUAACUACGUGCCAGCAGCCGCGGUAA